AUGGCGAGCUCGGCGCUGAGGCGAUCUCUUCCACGGCGCGGCUCGCUCCGCCGCCUCCUCCCUUCCCACCCACCACCCGCCGCCACCUCCUCGUUCCGUCGCUCCUUCCAGUCCGAAGAGGGCGCGGCGGGCGAGAGCACGGAGGACUUUGAAAAGCGGAUGUUUGGGAACCAGAGGGAGCCGGAUGCCAACUCGUUCUUCGGGAAGCUCGAUGGGGUUGGGAGCUCCUUCGGAGGAAGACAUGGCACCGGCUCUGGGAUGGGUGCCUUCAGUCAGCAGGGUGGGAUGGGUAACUUGUUUGGUGAGAGGAGUGUUCAUGGGAUCAUGGAUGGUUUCGACUCCUUGAACGAUGGCAUGAACGAGAAGUUGGACGACGCGGCCCGCACCUUUCACAUGACGGAUGAGGUUGAGGACGAUGACUAUGAUUUCAGGCCAGAUGUGAAUUACAGGCGAGGCUCGACUUACAAUGUCCGGGAUCUUGACCUAACAAAACCUGCAGCCCCAAGGAAUCCUCCUAGACCUCAGUUUGAAACAUCUACAAAGGAAGUUUUAAGGAAAGCUGAUUUUAGGAAUGUUAGAUUCCUUGCCAACUUUAUUACAGAGGCUGGCAUUAUCAUCAAGAGGAAUCAGACCAAGAUAAGUGCAAAAGCUCAGCGCAAGGUGGCGAGAGAGAUUAAAACAGCGCGUGCACUGGGGCUGAUGCCUUUCACGACGAUGGGCAAGAGACCAUUCAUCUUUGGCAGAAGUGCGGAGGAGGAUGCUUCAGAAGAGGAAUAUGGGUAUGAUUUUGUCCAGAAGGAUGCUGGACCUGAAGAUACUGCUGGCGAUGCUGUGCCCGAUGUGGAGACUGCGUAA
Molecule: ribosomal RNA, 855 nt
Filed under: Triticum aestivum (bread wheat)
Lineage: Eukaryota; Viridiplantae; Streptophyta; Magnoliopsida; Poales; Poaceae
Description: partial small subunit ribosomal RNA
Source: RNAcentral